GGGGGGGGUCCACUAGUACUCCACAAACACCUGUGUAAAAAACAUGACCAUCCCUUCUGUAGGACUCUGUAUGAUAAUAAUUCUACAAAAACAAUAAAAUAAAGUUCAUGUUACCAAUUUUCAUCAAUGACAAAUUGUCAAUUUAGAUUUUUUCAUUUGAUUACGGACAUUACGGACAAAUUUUGAAUUUUCCACGGUGUUCAUUAUUUUUGUCAAUAAACUUUUUUUU
This 229-nucleotide long non-coding RNA is filed under the name Mytilus galloprovincialis (Mediterranean mussel). Lineage: Eukaryota; Metazoa; Mollusca; Bivalvia; Mytilida; Mytilidae. The record is from RNAcentral.